GCUAGCAUGGCAUAGUGGUUUGAGCAUUGGACUAUGACUCUGGAGAUCAGGGUUCGAAUCCCCCUCAGCC
This 70-nucleotide transfer RNA is filed under the name Phrynosoma platyrhinos (Desert horned lizard). RNAcentral describes it as "tRNA-OTHER". The record is from RNAcentral. Lineage: Eukaryota; Metazoa; Chordata; Lepidosauria; Squamata; Phrynosomatidae.